AUUGAACGCUGGCGGCAUGCCUUACACAUGCAAGUCGAACGGCAGCACGGGAGCAAUCCUGGUGGCGAGUGGCGAACGGGUGAGUAAUAUAUCGGAACGUGCCCAGUCGUGGGGAUAACGUAGCGAAAGCUACGCUAAUACCGCAUACGAUCUACGGAUGAAAGCGGGGGAUCGCAAGACCUCGCGCGAUUGGAGCGGCCGAUAUCGGAUUAGGUAGUUGGUGAGGUAAAGGCUCACCAAGCCGACGAUCUGUAGCUGGUCUGAGAGGGAGAUCCCCCCACACUGGUACUGAGACACGGACCAGACUCCUACGGGAGGCAGCAGUGAGGAAUAUUGGACAAUGGGCGCAAGCCUGAUCCAGCCCAUGCCGCGUGCAGGAUGACGGUCCUAUGGAUUGUAAACUGCUUUGUACAGGAAGAAACCCUUUNACGUGUGGAAGAUUGACGGUACUGUAAGAAUAAGCACCAGCUAACUACG
RNAcentral lists this ribosomal RNA (477 nucleotides) under uncultured bacterium. RNAcentral describes it as "bacterial SSU rRNA". It matches the Rfam family "Bacterial small subunit ribosomal RNA", at positions 30 to 505 of the family's 1533-position model. The record is from RNAcentral.